GCCCUUAGAGUUUGAUCCUGGCUCAGGAUGAACGCUGGCGGCGUGCCUAACACAUGCAAGUCGAGCGAUUCUCUUCAGAGAAGAGCGGCGGACGGGUGAGUAACGCGUGGGUAACCUGCCCUGUACACACGGAUAACAUACCGAAAGGUAUGCUAAUACGAGAUAAUAUGCUUUUAUCGCAUGGUAGAAGUAUCAAAGCUUUUGCGGUACAGGAUGGACCCGCGUCUGAUUAGCUAGUUGGUAAGGUAACGGCUUACCAAGGCGACGAUCAGUAGCCGACCUGAGAGGGUGAUCGGCCACAUUGGAACUGAGACACGGUCCAAACUCCUACGGGAGGCAGCAGUGGGGAAUAUUGCACAAUGGGCGAAAGCCUGAUGCAGCAACGCCGCGUGAGCGAUGAAGGCCUUCGGGUCGUAAAGCUCUGUCCUCAAGGAAGAUAAUGACGGUACUUGAGGAGGAAGCCCCGGCUAACUACGUGCCAGCAGCCGCGGUAAUACGUAGGGGGCUAGCGUUAUCCGGAAUUACUGGGCGUAAAGGGUGCGUAGGUGGUUUCUUAAGUCAGAGGUGAAAGGCUACGGCUCAACCGUAGUAAGCCUUUGAAACUGGGAAACUUGAGUGCAGGAGAGGAGAGUGGAAUUCCUAGUGUAGCGGUGAAAUGCGUAGAUAUUAGGAGGAACACCAGUUGCGAAGGCGGCUCUCUGGACUGUAACUGACACUGAGGCACGAAAGCGUGGGGAGCAAACAGGAUUAGAUACCCUGGUAGUCCACGCCGUAAACGAUGAGUACUAGCUGUCGGAGGUUACCCCCUUCGGUGGCGCAGCUAACGCAUUAAGUACUCCGCCUGGGAAGUACGCUCGCAAGAGUGAAACUCAAAGGAAUUGACG
This 884-nucleotide ribosomal RNA is filed under the name uncultured bacterium. RNAcentral describes it as "bacterial SSU rRNA". It matches the Rfam family "Bacterial small subunit ribosomal RNA", at positions 1 to 915 of the family's 1533-position model. The record is from RNAcentral.